GCAAGUCGAACGGUAACAGGGGAGCUUGCUCCUGCUGACGAGUGGCGCACGGGUGCGUAACGCGUAUACAAUCUACCUUUUGCUGAGGGAUAGCCCAGAGAAAUUUGGAUUAAUACCUCAUGGUAUUAUUGAUAGGCAUCUAUUAAUAAUUAAAGGUUACGGCAAAAGAUGAGUAUGCGUCCCAUUAGCUAGUUGGUGAAGUAACGGCUCACCAAGGCAACGAUGGGUAGGGGUCCUGAGAGGGAGAUC
Molecule: ribosomal RNA, 249 nt
Filed under: uncultured bacterium
Lineage: Bacteria
Description: partial 16S ribosomal RNA
Rfam family: Bacterial small subunit ribosomal RNA
Source: RNAcentral